UACAUGCAAGUCGAGCGGAACCAGAAGAGCUUGCUCUUUUGGUUUAGCGGCGGACGGGUGAGUAACACGUGGGCAACCUGCCCUGCAGAUCGGGAUAACUCCGGGAAACCGGUGCUAAUACCGAAUAGUUUACCGUUCCUCCUGGAACGGUACGGAAAGACGGUUUCGGCUGUCACUGCAGGAUGGGCCCGCGGCGCAUUAGCUAGUUGGUGGGGUAAUGGCCCACCAAGGCGACGAUGCGUAGCCGACCUGAGAGGGUGAUCGGCCACACUGGGACUGAGACACGGCCCAGACUCCUACGGGAGGCAGCAGUAGGGAAUCUUCCGCAAUGGACGCAAGUCUGACGGAGCAACGCCGCGUGAGUGACGAAGGUUUUCGGAUCGUAAAACUCUGUUGUGAGGGAAGAACAAGUACCAAUUAACUACUGGUACCGUGACGGUACCUCACC
This 448-nucleotide ribosomal RNA is filed under the name Planomicrobium okeanokoites. Its description in RNAcentral is "bacterial SSU rRNA". It matches the Rfam family "Bacterial small subunit ribosomal RNA", at positions 52 to 484 of the family's 1533-position model. Lineage: Bacteria; Bacillati; Bacillota; Bacilli; Caryophanales; Caryophanaceae. The record is from RNAcentral.